GACGAACGCUGGCGGCGUGCUUAACACAUGCAAGUCGAACGGAAAGGCCCUGCUUGCAGGGUACUCGAGUGGCGAACGGGUGAGUAACACGUGGGUGAUCUGCCCUGCACUUCGGGAUAAGCCUGGGAAACUGGGUCUAAUACCGGAUAGGAGCCAUUUUUAGUGUGAUGGUUGGAAAGUUUUUUCGGUGUAGGAUGAGCUCGCGGCCUAUCAGCUUGUUGGUGGGGUAAUGGCCUACCAAGGCGGCGACGGGUAGCCGGCCUGAGAGGGUGGACGGCCACAUUGGGACUGAGAUACGGCCCAGACUCCUACGGGAGGCAGCAGUGGGGAAUAUUGCACAAUGGGCGCAAGCCGGAUGCAGCGACGCCGCGUGGGGGAUGACGGCCUUCGGGUUGGAAACUCCUUUCGCUAGGGACGAAGCUUUUUGUGACGGUACCUAGAUAAGAAGCACCGGCUAACUACGUG
RNAcentral lists this ribosomal RNA (465 nucleotides) under uncultured bacterium. Its description in RNAcentral is "partial 16S ribosomal RNA". It matches the Rfam family "Bacterial small subunit ribosomal RNA", at positions 28 to 507 of the family's 1533-position model. The record is from RNAcentral.